Molecule: ribosomal RNA, 422 nt
Filed under: uncultured bacterium
Lineage: Bacteria
Description: bacterial SSU rRNA
Rfam family: Bacterial small subunit ribosomal RNA
Source: RNAcentral
UAAGGAAUAUUGGACAAUGGAGGCAACUCUGAUCCAGCCAUGCCGCGUGAAGGAAUAAGGCCCUAUGGGUUGUAAACUUCUUUUAGACGGGACAAAACCCCUUUACGUGUAAAGGGUUGAUGGUACUGUCAGAAUAAGCAUCGGCUAACUUCGUGCCAGCAGCCGCGGUAAUACGAAGGAUGCAAGCGUUAUCCGGAAUUAUUGGGUUUAAAGGGUGCGUAGGCGGACUAAUAAGUCAGUGGUGAAAGCCUGCAGCUUAACUGCAGAAUUGCGAUUGAUACUGUUAGUCUUGAGUACAGUUGAGGUAGGCGGAAUGUGUCAUGUAGCGGUGAAAUGCUUAGAUAUGACACAGAACACCGAUUGCGAAGGCAGCUUGCUAAGCUGUAACUGACGCUGAGGCACGAAAGCGUGGGGAGCAAACA